This 66-nucleotide transfer RNA is filed under the name Idris sp. Its description in RNAcentral is "tRNA-Asp". Lineage: Eukaryota; Metazoa; Arthropoda; Insecta; Hymenoptera; Scelionidae. The record is from RNAcentral.
UUAGACUUAGUUAAAUUAUAUAACAUUAAUUUGUCAAAUUAAAAUUAUUUGAAUGAAUAAUCUAAU